UCCAGCGUGGCAUAGUGGUUUGAAUGUUGGACUGCAACUCUGGAGCCCCGGGUUCAAUUCCCAGUUCUGCCA
Molecule: transfer RNA, 72 nt
Filed under: Phrynosoma platyrhinos (Desert horned lizard)
Lineage: Eukaryota; Metazoa; Chordata; Lepidosauria; Squamata; Phrynosomatidae
Description: tRNA-OTHER
Source: RNAcentral